Ipomoea nil (Japanese morning glory) is the source of this 195-nucleotide long non-coding RNA. RefSeq lists it as uncharacterized. Lineage: Eukaryota; Viridiplantae; Streptophyta; Magnoliopsida; Solanales; Convolvulaceae. The record is from RefSeq and is a predicted model, not a curated record. The transcript is spliced from 3 exons.
UUAUACAGUUAAAAUAAGCACAAAGAGUAAGUAAAUACAUUUUAUUGGGUAAACAUGAGCUACAAUAAGCCAAUUUUCACACAACUUUAUCAGUAAUAAAGAAUUUAAACCAAUUGCCAGAAGCCCAGAAUGUCCUAAAUAAUCAUCUUUUAAAUACUUUUACAAUGCAAUACUCCAAAAGUUGGCCUCUGUGAA